CCCUUAGAUGUUCUGGGCUGCACGCGCGCUACACUGAAGCGUUCAACGAGUAUUCACCUUGCCCGGGAGGGUUGGGUAAUCUUUGAACGCUGUUCGUGAUUGGGAUAGACCUUUGCAAUUAUGGGUCUUCAACGAGGAAUUCCUAGUAAACGCAAGUCAUCAGCUUGCAUUGAUUACGUCCCUGCCCUUUGUACACACCGCCCGUCGCACCUACCGAUUGAAUGGUCCGGUGAAAUCUCGGGACGGCGGCUUGGUCGCUUGCGUCCGACUGCUGAAACUUGAUUAAACCAUAUCAUUUAGAGGAAGGUGAAGUCGUANCA
This 320-nucleotide ribosomal RNA is filed under the name uncultured eukaryote. RNAcentral's name for it is "partial 18S ribosomal RNA". It matches the Rfam family "Eukaryotic small subunit ribosomal RNA", at positions 1470 to 1796 of the family's 1831-position model. The record is from RNAcentral.